GCCAGGCACUGUGGUGCAUGCCUGUAAUCCCAGCGGCUUGGGAGGCUGAGGCAAGAGGAUUGUGUGUUCAAAGCCAACCUCAGCAAAAAUGACUCCCUAAGCAACUUAGUGAAACCCUGUCUCUA
This 125-nucleotide small RNA is filed under the name Marmota monax (woodchuck). The record is from RNAcentral. Lineage: Eukaryota; Metazoa; Chordata; Mammalia; Rodentia; Sciuridae.